GUUUCGGGCGCGGUGCCGGUCUAAGUCUCUUGGAACAGGGCGUCAGAGAGGGUGAGAAUCCCGUACGUGACCGGCGACCAACCCCAUGUGAAACCCCUUCGACGAGUCGAGUUGUUUGGGAAUGCAGCUCAAAAUGGGUGGUAAAUUUCAUCUAAAGCUAAAUACCGGCUGGAGACCGAUAGCGCACAAGUAGAGUGAUCGAAAGAUGAAAAGCACUUUGGAAAGAGAGUUAAAAAGUACGUGAAAUUGUUGAAAGGGAAGCGCUUGCAACCAGACUUGUCCCCGGGCGAUCAGCGGCUGUUCUCAGCCGUGCACUCGUCCGUGAUCAGGCCAGCAUCGGUUUGGGCGGUCGGAUAAAGGCCGCGGGAAUGUAGCUUCCUUCGGGGAGUCUUAUAGCCCGCGGUGCAAUGCGGCCAGCCCGGACCGAGGACCGCGCUUCGGCUAGGAUGCUGGCGUAAUGGUUGUAAGCGACCCGUCUUGAAACACGGACCAAGGAGUCUAACAUCUAUGCGAGUGUUUGGGCGUCAAACCCAUGCGCGUAAUGAAAGUGAACGGAGGUGGGAACCCUUAAGGGCGCACCAUCGACCGAUCCAGAUGUCUUCGGAUGGAUUUGAGUACGAGCAUAGCUGUUGGGACCCGAAAGAUGGUGAACUAUGCCUGAAUAGGGUGAAGCCAGAGGAAACUCUGGUGGAGGCUCGCAGCGGUUCUGACGUGCAAAUCGAUCGUCAAAUUUGGGUAUAGGGGCGAAAGACUAAUCGAACCAUCU
RNAcentral lists this ribosomal RNA (766 nucleotides) under Mycoblastus affinis. Its description in RNAcentral is "LSU rRNA". It matches the Rfam family "Eukaryotic large subunit ribosomal RNA", at positions 161 to 945 of the family's 3401-position model. Lineage: Eukaryota; Fungi; Ascomycota; Lecanoromycetes; Lecanorales; Mycoblastaceae. The record is from RNAcentral.